Molecule: ribosomal RNA, 200 nt
Filed under: uncultured bacterium
Lineage: Bacteria
Description: partial 16S ribosomal RNA
Rfam family: Bacterial small subunit ribosomal RNA
Source: RNAcentral
ACGCUCGACACCUACGGGAGACAGCAGUCGGGAAUAUUGCGCAAUGGAGGAAACUCUGACGCAGUGACGCCGCGUGCAGGAAGAAGGUUUUCGGAUUGUAAACUGCUUUAGACAGGGAAGAAAAAGGACAGUACCUGUAGAAUAAGCUCCGGCUAACUACGUGUCCAGCAGCCGCGGUAAUCUGAGCGGGCUGGCAAGGC